Molecule: ribosomal RNA, 2336 nt
Filed under: human gut metagenome
Description: bacterial LSU rRNA
Rfam family: Bacterial large subunit ribosomal RNA
Source: RNAcentral
CCUAUCGAAAAAUGAGUCUGCGAGUCAGUGGCAUGUGGCGAGCAUAACCCGUGUGGGGUAUGCGUAGCGAAGGCGAGUCUUAAAAGGCGUUUGAGUCGCGUGUCCUGGACCCGAAGCGGGAUGAUCUAGCCCUGAGCAGGUUGAAGCGCGGGUAAGACCGCGUGGAGGACCGAACCCACCUGGGUUGAAAACCGGGGGGAUGACUUGGGGCUAGGGGUGAAAGGCCAAUCAAAUUCCGUGAUAGCUGGUUCUCUCCGAAAUGCAUUUGGGUGCAGCGUCGGGUCAUUACGUCCCGGGGGUAGAGCUACUGGAUGCUUGCGGGCCCGUAUCGGGUACCAACAGCAACCAAACUCCGAAUACCGGUGACGCGUAUCCCGGCAGUGAGUCGGCGGGGGAUAAGCUUCGUCGUCGAAAGGGAAACAGCCCAGACCGUCGUCUAAGGUCCCGAAGCGUGUGCUAAGUGGGAAAGGAUGUGGAGUCGCAUAGACAGCCAGGAGGUUGGCUCAGAAGCAGCCACCCUUGAAAGAGUGCGUAACAGCUCACUGGUCUAGUGGUUCCGCGCCGACAAUGUAGCGGGGCUCAAGCACACCACCGAAGACGCGGCAGUAUUUUGUACUGGGUAGGAGAGCGUCCCAUGAGGGGCGAAGCGGCCGUGUGAACGCGCCGUGGACUUCAUGGGAGUGAGAAUGCAGACAUGAGUAGCGAGAGACGGGUGAAGAUCCCGUCCGCUGGAUGACCAAGGGUUCCAGGGCCACGUUCAUCGUCCCUGGGUGAGUCGGGUCCUAAGGCGAGGCCGACAGGCGUAGUCGAAUGGAUGAACGGGUCGAUAUUCCCGUACCGGCUUUCAGCCGCCAAAACCGAGGCUUGGAGUACUAACCUCCGGGUCCGGGCUUACUGCUCCUUCGGGGGCGGGAUGCCCUGGCCUGUUGGGACCGAUCCUUGUAGUAGGUCAGCGCAGGAGUGACGCAGAAGGGUAGCCGGCCGCGGAGGUGGUCUUCCGUGGUCAAGCACGCAGGGCGUGGGACAGGCAAAUCCGUCCCGCAUGGGUCCGAGGUGCGAUGAUGGGGGCCUUAUGGCCCGAUAUCCGGUGAUCCCGGCUGCCGAGAAAAGCUUCGGCGUCAGGCUCGAAGCCGCCCGUACCCCAAACCGACACUGGUGGUCAGGUAGAGAAUACCAAAGCGAUCGAGCGAAUCCUGGUCAAGGAACUCGGCAAAUCACUCCCGUUCCUUCGGUUUAAGGGAGACCCCCGAUGGUGAACACACUUGCUGUGGGAGCUUUUGGGGGUGGCACAGACCAGGGGGUAGCGACUGUUUACCAAAAACACAGGUGCAUGCGAAGGCGCAAGCCGCUGUAUAUGCACUGACGCCUGCCCGGUGCCGGAAGGUUAAGAGGAUCCGUCAGCCUUCGGGUGAAGCGGUGAAUUCAAGCCCCGGUAAACGGCGGUGGUAACUAUAACCAUCCUAAGGUAGCGAAAUUCCUUGUCGGGUAAGUUCCGACCUGCACGAAUGGCGUAACGACUUCCCCACUGUCUCGACCAGGAGCUCGGCGAAAUUGCAGUACGAGUAAAGAUGCUCGUUAAGCGCAGAAGGACGAAAAGACCCCGGGACCUUUACUAUACCUUGGUAUUGGCAUUCGGUGUGGAUUGUGUAGCAUAGGCGGGAGGCCGAGAGGCGCGGGCGCCAGAUCGCGCGGAGCCGUAAGGUGAAAUACCGCUCUGUUCGCAUUGGAUGUCUAACCUCGAACAGUCAUCCUGUUCAGGGACAGUGCCUGGCGGGUAGUUUAACUGGGGCGGUUGCCUCCCAAAGAGUAACGGAGGCGCCCAAAGGUCCGCUCAGCCCGGUUGGCAAUCGGGUGGCGAGUGCAAGUGCACAAGCGGGCUUGACUGCGAGGACGACGGUCCGAGCAGGGACGAAAGUCGGGACUAGUGAUCCGGUGCCGGUGUACGGACGCGGCAUCGCUCAACGGAUAAAAGGUACCCCGGGGAUAACAGGCUGAUCAUUCCCAAGAGUCCAUAUCGACGGGAUGGUUUGGCACCUCGAUGUCGGCUCGUCGCAUCCUGGGGCUGGAGCAGGUCCCAAGGGUUCGGCUGUUCGCCGAUUAAAGUGGCACGCGAGCUGGGUUCAGAACGUCGUGAGACAGUUCGGUCUCUAUCCUCUGCGCUCGUUGGAAUGCUGAGGAGGCCUGCCCAUAGUACGAGAGGACCUGGGUGGACGAACCACUGGUAUACCGGUUGUCCCGCCAGUGGCACCGCCGGUUGGCUAAGUACGGAAGGGAUAACCGCUGAAAGCAUCUAAGCGGGAAGCCUGCUCCAAGAUAAGCAUUCCGUGGAACCUUCG